ACAGCCCUGCAAUGUGCGUGAUCAGCCGGGUAGUUUUGAGCCAACACCAAAACUACGGGAGCCCGGACUCUGGAUGUGGCUUGAAUGCCUCCUUUGAGUGGACUCAAAAAGCAUUCAGGAGGGUACCCACCUGCGGGAGCAGGUUCAAAAACACGGCCUCACGGCAUGGUGGGGUUUAU
This 179-nucleotide non-coding RNA is filed under the name Clostridia bacterium. Its description in RNAcentral is "6S RNA". It matches the Rfam family "6S / SsrS RNA". From Rfam's summary of the family: E. coli 6S RNA was the first non coding RNA to be sequenced, but its function was unknown until recently. It consists of 184 nucleotides that fold into an extended hairpin structure with a large single-stranded internal bulge. The record is from RNAcentral. Lineage: Bacteria; Bacillati; Bacillota; Clostridia.